UACGUAGGGUGCAAGCGUUAAUCGGAAUUACUGGGCGUAAAGCGUGCGCAGGCGGUUCGCUAAGACCGAUGUGAAAUCCCCGGGCUUAACCUGGGAACUGCAUUGGUGACUGGCGGGCUAGAGUAUGGCAGAGGGGGGUAGAAUUCCACGUGUAGCAGUGAAAUGCGUAGAGAUGUGGAGGAAUACCGAUGGCGAAGGCAGCCCCCUGGGUCAAGAUUGACGCUCAUGCACGAAAGCGUGGGGAGCGAACCGG
This 253-nucleotide ribosomal RNA is filed under the name uncultured bacterium. RNAcentral's name for it is "partial 16S ribosomal RNA". It matches the Rfam family "Bacterial small subunit ribosomal RNA", at positions 524 to 776 of the family's 1533-position model. The record is from RNAcentral.